Molecule: unclassified non-coding RNA, 276 nt
Filed under: Hevea brasiliensis (rubber tree)
Lineage: Eukaryota; Viridiplantae; Streptophyta; Magnoliopsida; Malpighiales; Euphorbiaceae
Source: RNAcentral
GAGAGAGAGAGAGAGAGAGGCGCAUAGUGAAAAGACCCACCAACCAACUGCAAAUCUUAAUACGCCCAAAAUUACUUAACCGUCCUUACAGGUAAAUGUUUCUCAAUACCCACCAUAAAUGUAUCAGUUUUAUGUUUAGGAGUUGAACUAAUAACAUUAACAGUUUCGGUUCAAAAAAAAUAAGUUGACAGUUUCAUGGAUGGCUGGUGGUGGAGCAGGUGAAAUUGUUUGGGACUUUGGGUUCACUGCAGUUCAAUACACACUUAAGUGGGUUUC